This 145-nucleotide transfer RNA is filed under the name Neurospora tetrasperma FGSC 2509. It matches the Rfam family "tRNA". From Rfam's summary of the family: Transfer RNA (tRNA) molecules are approximately 80 nucleotides in length. The record is from Rfam by way of RNAcentral. Lineage: Eukaryota; Fungi; Ascomycota; Sordariomycetes; Sordariales; Sordariaceae.
AGUUCCAUAGUUUAGUAGUUAGAGCGUUGGAAUAUUAUUUUUAACUAUCCGUCUACUAUCUCUUAAAUAUAUUUAAAAGUAUAAUUAACGGAUUACCUCUAGAUAAUAUACCCAAAGGUCGUAGGUUCAAAUUUUACUGGGACUA